CAAGUGACUUUAUCAUGCACAUAAAUUAUGUGGAGUCAUAGAUUGUCUCUUUUCAUCAUUAAUUAUAUAUUUUAAUUGAAGUGUAAAUUUACAAUGUUGUAUUAGUUUCAAGUGCACAGCAAACUGAUUUAUAUAUAUACAUAUAUAUGAAUAUAUAUAUAUAUUCUUUUUCAGAUUCUUCUCCUUUAUAGGUUAUUAUAAGAUAUGAGUAUAGUUUCCUGUGCUAUAUAGUAGGUCCCUGUUUAUAUAUUUUAUGUAUAGUAGUGUGUAUAUGUUAAUCCUAAGCUCCUAAUUUAUCUCUCUCUCCUUGCCCUUUGGUAACCAUAAUUUCUUUUCUAUGUCUGUGUGUCUUUUUGUAAAUAAGUUCCUCUGUAUCAUUUUUAAAAACUCUAUCUAUAAGUGAUAGCAUAUGAUAUUUGUCUUUCUUUGUCCAAUUUACUUUGCUUAAUAUGAUAAUUUCUUGAUCUUAUUUUACUUUACCCUCAUGGCAACCCCACUAUUGAGGAUAUAGAGAAUCAGAGAGUUUUAUAAACUUGCUGAAGGCCACACAUCUACUAAAGAAUGUACCUCAAGUUCAGAUCUACAGACUCAAGAGUUCUAAUGCAGUGACUAAUCCAUUAUAUCAGACAACUUGUACCUCACCCACCACACAACACAUACCUUGCCCUGCACCAGGCAUUUUUACCAGGAGCCCCGAAGAGAAGACCAUGGCCCUGGCCACAUGGACCUUGUCUCCUGAAGGUGUGACAUCAUCUUGUUCUAGUCAAACCAAGCCGGCGAAUCCGAGAAAGAAACACACAGGAACCCAUUUGUAACAAUGCAUAAAUAAUAAACUGAUCUGAUUUAGGAUAGCAGAGAGAAAUAACAGAAGAGAGGGACUGAGGUGGGUAUUUAUUAUACAGGAUAAUCACACUAAGUAUGUCCUGUCAGCUCCUACACUUCCACUCUUCACCCUUAUUGACCCUGAUCUGGGCCCCCAAUACUCUGAUGGUCCCUUUCACUUUGGUUUCCAGUUGGGUUUGACAAAUGGGAGGUGCCAGCAGGAGCCUUGAGAGGUGGAGGGGACCACAGUGGGAUUUUUCAGGCCCUGAUCCCCUCCCUGCUGGCUGUCUGCAUCCCACCAUCUAAGGUGACAUUUCCUGCCAAGCUGCCUCCUCCCUAUGGUCACAUGGUCCUGUGGCCACCCCCCAACCCUUGCCCUACCUAUUCAGGCUUAGCAUGGUAAUGGCUCUCUUCUGUUUCUGACCUCAGGGUACUACACUAUUGUCAUGGAAGUUCCUUGCAUCUCAUCACCCCUUGGUAAAGAGGCUGUUUACUAAACUCUCUUCCAUCAUCUGGCUCAGUGUACCAUCUGUGUUUUCCCAGAACCUCAAGUGAUGCAGUGAAUAAGCAAACAAGAUUGUCAGUGAACCAUCUUUGUAGGCAAAACUAUGGAAACAUAUUCACAUCCUCCUAAGAGGAUGACAGAUGGUAACCAUGUGAGACUUGACUCUCUUAUCCUCACUUCCUUCUUGUUUGCUACUCCUCUAGAACAGGAAUGAGGUCAGAUAUUUUGCAGAGCUGCAUAUUUGGCCCAGGAGAUCAUCAAGUAGCAACUCCCAACACCGUGAAGCUAGGAUUCCCCACCAAGGGAGGAAGGAAUGACAAACAGCACUAGCUGCAACCAGUCAUACCUAGUUGGUGCCUUCAAGGACCUCACCUCAGGAGUUCUCACUGUAGCACAACAGGAUCAUUUUUUUUUAAAAAAAAAAAAGGACCUUGGCUCAGUACCAGUCCUGUCAAUCUUCAAGGUCUUACCAUCUCCAGGGAGGGAGGCCUCUGACCACAGCUCUACCUCACAAAAAGGCCAACAGCCCCUGAGCCUACUUAUCUGCUGGCUCUGACAGAUGGAUCCCAGAACUCACCAGACCAAAUGAUUUUAUUUCCCUCAACACAUCCAUGUGCAUGAAGGCAGUCAAUGAAUUAAUUGUAUUAGGAAACCUACUAAGCCGAGGACAAUUGCUUCAAAAGAAGAACCAAAAAGGUGCUGAAAGACAGAAGGCAAACGAACCUCAGAGGCAUCUUUAGAAAUGGACAAUUAUGAUCCAUUAAGCCUAGUUAAGGGACUGAAAUUUAUGAGGAGGAAACAUCUGGAACUGCCUGGAAUGCAAAGGAACCAGAAGGAACCACUGUUUGGGCUUGUAGAGAGCAGCCCAGACAAAUGGGAUUCUGUGUUAGGAGAGAAUUGCAAAAUCAGAACAUGAAAAGGACAGAAUGGAGGCAACGCAUCUGGGGUUAAGUGAAGCAUUUUAAUACAGUGGCUCCUGGAUUUGCUCUUGAAAUAUUAAUUGAAAUUGGGAUGAAUAUGAGGGCUGUCACAUGAAUAGAAAACUGGCAGGAAGAUCAUAAAUACUGGCUAAGCUGAGCCAAGUCAACAGAACACAGCAAUGCAACAGAAAGUAAUGAAGACACUGCUGAAUUCAUAGCCAUGAACCCUGCAGAUGCUUAAUAAAUAUUAAUUGAUAAUAAUGAACUAUAGUACAGGGUGGUAAAUUAGUGCGAGACAGUUAAGCUGCUGAAAAACAGCUAAUAUAUAUAUGGUUGGUAUAACAUACAAUGAUGAAUGAACAAGGAGAAAGGAAAAUAAAACUGAUUUAUUGGUGAGGUGCAUUUUGCCUGGCAACAGGACAUAUGGGAAAGAGAAUAUUAAUAGAAGGGUGGGGAGGGGUGGCUUGAGGGGAUGAGAGGAAAGUUGAGACAAUAAUUCAGGAUCACAAUAGAGCUUUCCUAGCGUCUCGGCAAUUCCUUAAGUAUAAGCCAGGCACCUUGGAGUCAUAUCCUGUUCCUUUAAAACACUGUGGCAUUCUCAAUAAAUUUUUGCUCCCAGGAACCCAGAGACACCAUAGAUUAAUCUGGACCAAUUUCCCAGAAGGGGAUAUGAAAGCUCUCCUCCUAGGGAAGCCAGCUCUGAUCCACACAGCCAGAGUACAACCUUUUCUUUUUAAAUCUCAUCACUCUUGUUGCUUGUGUCACUGCUUAUCUCCUAGAAUUACUAUGAUUUUUGUAUAUGUGAUUAUAUUUUUUAAGCUUUGUAAAGUAGAAAUAAUGCCUUGCAUUUUC
This 3099-nucleotide long non-coding RNA is filed under the name Sus scrofa (pig). RNAcentral's name for it is "lncRNA (ENSSSCG00050059016.1)". The record is from RNAcentral. Lineage: Eukaryota; Metazoa; Chordata; Mammalia; Artiodactyla; Suidae.